RNAcentral lists this ribosomal RNA (282 nucleotides) under uncultured fungus. RNAcentral describes it as "partial 18S ribosomal RNA". It matches the Rfam family "Eukaryotic small subunit ribosomal RNA", at positions 548 to 836 of the family's 1831-position model. Lineage: Eukaryota; Fungi. The record is from RNAcentral.
UUGGAGGGCAAGUCUGGUGCCAGCAGCCGCGGUAAUUCCAGCUCCAAUAGCGUAUAUUAAAGUUGUUGCAGUUAAAAAGCUCGUAGUUGAACUUCAGACCUGACCGGGCGGUCCGCCUAACGGUGUGUACUGUCUGGCCGGGCCUUACCUCUUGGUGAGCCGGCAUGCCCUUCACUGGGUGCGUCGGGGAACCAGGACCUUUACCUUGAGAAAAUUAGAGUGUUCAAAGCGGGCUUACGCCGGAAUACAUUAGCAUGGAAUAAUAAAAUAGGACGUGCGGUU